UUUUUCCAUCUCAAACGGUAAUAUCUUUCUACUAAUAGUUUUAAUGCGCCUGUAGGGAAUGAAGACCACAACCCAUACGCCGAAGAAACAAAUGAAUUUGACGAAUUAAGAGCUCUGUCGGAGUUUUUUCUGCUCACAGUUCUGUUAUAAUGCCACAUUUUCCAUCCUAUAUGAAUUAUUCCCUUUUUAAUUAUAGCUCUACAUGUUUCUUUUUGUUCAUUU
Harmonia axyridis is the source of this 222-nucleotide long non-coding RNA. RefSeq lists it as uncharacterized. The record is from RefSeq and is a predicted model, not a curated record. The transcript has 2 exons. NCBI's taxonomy places the organism in Eukaryota, Metazoa, Arthropoda, Insecta, Coleoptera, Coccinellidae.